RNAcentral lists this ribosomal RNA (440 nucleotides) under uncultured bacterium. RNAcentral describes it as "partial 16S ribosomal RNA". It matches the Rfam family "Bacterial small subunit ribosomal RNA", at positions 338 to 795 of the family's 1533-position model. The record is from RNAcentral.
CCUACGGGAGACAGCAGUGGGGAAUAUUGCACAAUGGGGGAAACCCUGAUGCAGCGACGCCGCGUGAGCGAUGAAGUAUUUCGGUAUGUAAAGCUCUAUCAGCAGGGAAGAAAAUGACGGUACCUGACUAAGAAGCCCCGGCUAACUACGUGCCAGCAGCCGCGGUAAUACGUAGGGGGCAAGCGUUAUCCGGAUUUACUGGGUGUAAAGGGAGCGUAGACGGCGAUGCAAGCCAGAUGUGAAAGCCCGGGGCCCAACCCCGGGACUGCAUUGGAAACUGUUGAACUGGAGUACAGGAGAGGUAAGCGGAAUUCCUAGUGUAGCGGUGAAAUGCGUAGUUAUUAGGAGGAACACCAGUGGCGAAGGCGGCUUACUGGACUGUAACUGACGUUGAGGCUCGAAAGCGUGGGGAGCAAACAGGAUUAGAUACCCUUGUAGUC